Molecule: non-coding RNA, 221 nt
Organism: Cinara cedri
Lineage: Eukaryota; Metazoa; Arthropoda; Insecta; Hemiptera; Aphididae
Source: the annotation of a GenBank genome assembly
AAAGGCAAAUAUUUUCUUGAUUAUCAGUAGUAAACGAUUAGAAUGAUUGUUUGUUCGUAAUACUCGGAUAGCCGAUGAUCAAUAUACUGAAGAGAGGAGUACUUACUGAUGGUGAAAAAAACAAAUAGAACGAGACCAUUGAAGAGACCUAGAACGACGCUACAGGUGGAUCGAUGUCAUUACCAAAGAUCUAUAUAAGAAGCCAGUACACAGAGAGAAUA